This 187-nucleotide microRNA precursor is filed under the name Oryza punctata. RNAcentral describes it as "MIR812 microRNA precursor family". It matches the Rfam family "MIR812 microRNA precursor family", at positions 1 to 162 of the family's 205-position model. Lineage: Eukaryota; Viridiplantae; Streptophyta; Magnoliopsida; Poales; Poaceae. The record is from Rfam by way of RNAcentral.
UUUAAGUGUAACCAUAAGUUUUCAUGUUCAACUGUGAUCGUCCGUUUUAUUUAAAAAUUUUUAUGAUUACUAUUUUUGUUGUUAUUAGAUGAUAAAAUAUGAAUAACAUUUUAUGCGUAACUUAUCGUUUUCCGUUCUACGGUCCCUCGGAGCGAAGGGUUAGGUAAGUAGUACGGCCCCUCUGACU